Molecule: long non-coding RNA, 1729 nt
Organism: Apodemus sylvaticus (European woodmouse)
Lineage: Eukaryota; Metazoa; Chordata; Mammalia; Rodentia; Muridae
Exons: 3
Source: RefSeq, a predicted model, not a curated record
GGAACAUCCCUCCAUGGCUUCUGCAUCAGUUCCUGCUUCCUGACUUGCUUGAGUUCCAGUCCUGACUUCCUUUGGUGAUGAACAGCAAUGUGGAAAUGGCCAUAUCUUCUAAUAGUGCCACUUCCUGGGCUGAGCAUAUGCAAACCAUCACAGGUAACAUCUGGGUUUCUGGCUGAGGAGGUGCCAUUCUUCUAGGAAUGCCUAAGGAGCCCCCUGGAUUCCAGGAAGAGCAAAGCUCCUUGGAAAGACUGCCCACUCUAUAGAGGAAGGGAGUUAUCUCUGACGACAAAGAGUCUAUCUCCAAGAAGAAGUGAUUAUCUUGUAAGAAGCAGACCUAUCUGUGUUAUGUGCAUUUAAAGCUACCGCCUCAGCCCAGGAACACUGCCUCACUAUUAGCCACUCCUGGCUCCCUUUUGUUCCACCUUUGCUCUGGGAGGUGACCUAGCAAUGUUUGCUCCUCUACAAUUUGCCUUCUAGGCACAAUUGCUGGGUGUUAUUGUCUCCUACCUGGAAAAGUGUGCCCUUAACAUUUAUUGUCUCCAUCUUUCCACUUGCUCUAAACUUCAGUAGCUAAAGCCACCUAGCCCCUUCUAAACAUCCUUGGCCAGCAGCCUGCGCUGGAGGCCAUAGGCCCCAACCCCCAGCCCAUACCUCACAUGGUUGCUGCCUUCUUCUUCCUCUAAAGCAUGGCAGAAAGACCCCCUUUCUCUUUCCUUGCAGCUCCCUUUCCUCCUGGGACCCAGAAGACCCACCUGUACCUUCUGCCCAGCAAUUGGCCCCUGGCUUUCUUUACUGACAAAUCAAGAACCAGUUGGGGAACAGGACUUUAACAUCAGAACUGCCCCCUUCACCUAGCCUUUUCAUAUGUAGGUAACCACGGUGUUGGGCCACUAUGCAGAGUCAGAGUGGGAGAAUGGUCAACCAGAUCACACCCGGACCAGAAGACUUAACCAUAUGUCUCUCCCGCUCUCUGCCUCAGAUCUGCUUCUGUUUAGACCAAAGCUUGUGUCAGUACCCUGGAGCCAGAAGACAGUACCAGACCCUUUGUUCUUCCCUUCUGUCUUCGCUUUUACCAAUACGUGUCUCUAAACUCUAUGCUAGGACCCCAAAAAUUGCUCUGAGGGACUCACCAAAUUUGGUUCUCUUCCUAACACAGCCACAUUGAAUAAAUCUACUUUUUGUGAUUAAUUUGUCUCUUUAAUUAGCCUAGUGAAGGUGGGUGGCUGAUCAUGGUUUUAUGAGGAUGUUAGGACCCUGGAUGACCCCAAAGACUCUGGUAACAGAUCUAUUUUCAUAUUGUUGAGAACUUUCACAUUGACUUCCAUAGCGGCUAGACUAAUUUACAUUCCCACCAGCAGCGUGUGAGGUCUGGCUUCUCUCUGUAUCUUCCUGCCUCUGCUCCCUAAGUGCUGGGUUACUGGCAUGCACAACCACACCUAGCUGCUGUGUAGUUUUAAUUUGCAUAUCUCUGAUGGGUAGUGAUGUGAAACAUCUUUUUAUAUGUUUCUUGGCCAUUGGUACAGCAUCUUCUGAGAACUGUCUGCUUUUCUAGUUUAUUAGCUGAUUAUAUUGUUUGAUUUCUUGGUAUAUGGUUUCUUGAGUUCUAUAUUCUAGACAUUAAUUCUGUUAUAUAUGUACCUCCCAAAGGUUCCCCUCCUGUUCUAUACUCUUGUCUCUUUGUCUCCUUUGCUUUGUAGAAACUUGAAAAUUUCAUGCUAGUCCAUCUGUU